GUGAGUCAUCGAAUCUUUGAACGCAUAUUGCACUCCUUGGCAUUCCGAGGAGUAUGCCUGUUUCAGUAUCAGAAAUCUACAAUCGAAGAAGUUUCUUCGGAUCUGGGUCUCGUAUAGUUCAUGUUCUCUCCUUGGAGAGACGUUGUUGAACGUACUGGCCUGAAAUACAUGAUCUUGUCCCUUGUUUUACACCUCGACUUUUUCCAAAAAGGCGUCAUAGUUGACCGUGGUCAUCUUUCGCUGUUGGUGAAGUCGGUACGGUCUUGGGCUUGAUCGAGGGUGUGGCAGUUUCGCGCAAAU
This 300-nucleotide unclassified non-coding RNA is filed under the name uncultured fungus. RNAcentral's name for it is "sequence contains 5.8S rRNA gene, ITS2". The stretch from base 1 to 71 matches the Rfam family "5.8S ribosomal RNA", at positions 84 to 154 of the family's 154-position model. The record is from RNAcentral. Lineage: Eukaryota; Fungi.